UUACGCCCACAUCACGUUGAAACAUUGGUUCCCAUACGAUCACCAAAGUUAAGCAACGUCGAUCCUGGUCAGUUCUUAAAUGGGUGACUGCUUGGGAAUAACAGCUGC
This is a non-coding RNA of Acanthosepion pharaonis, 108 nucleotides long. NCBI's taxonomy places the organism in Eukaryota, Metazoa, Mollusca, Cephalopoda, Sepiida, Sepiidae. The record is from the annotation of a GenBank genome assembly.